GGCGGGUCGGGGCGGGGGCCGGGCUGAGGAUCGGGGAGAGAGACUCGCGGCUGGGGCGAGAAGCGCGGGGUGCCGCAGCACACCACAGCCAGUGGCCAGAGGGAUACUCGCGGUCUCCGUUCGCCCUCGGGCCGAGCUUAUAAAGAGCCCCGGGGGGCGGGGAGAAGGCGGGGCAUAGGCGGGGCAGGGGCGGGGCUUUCCUCCACUUCUCUCCAGGCACCCUCCGCCGGGCAGGUGUCCCCUUCCUCUGCCCCGCCCCCGCGGCCAGAUCCGCUUUCGAAGAAGCCGGAACAAAGUCCCAAAGUUGCUGCUCAAGGAGAAGCCGCCUUGCCGCGGGCCGCGCGGAGAGGGGGUGGGUCGGUCUAGCUUCGUGCCCUGCAUAAGCUCGCCCAGCGUCCCCACACCCCACGCUCCCAGGGCAGCCGAGCCGCCGCUCCCAGCCACACACUGUAAGAACAAUGGACCAACUGGGGUAGGUUGCCCACAGUGGAAGCAGAAAGACCAGUCAGGAGGCUGCUGUGCUUGCUGAGGCGAGAGAUGCUGGUGGCCAUGGGGACAAUCCAAGUGGAUGGGCUGACUCAUGCAGAGCCUGCUGGAAGGGGUACUCCAACCCAGACAAAGUGGACCAGAGAGUCAAGAGCUGUGACUGACCACAUCCCACCCAGGCUAAUUUCAUAAUUAAAAUUUAAUUCCACUA
This is a long non-coding RNA of Manis pentadactyla (Chinese pangolin), 697 nucleotides long. RefSeq lists it as uncharacterized. The transcript is spliced from 2 exons. Lineage: Eukaryota; Metazoa; Chordata; Mammalia; Pholidota; Manidae. The record is from RefSeq and is a predicted model, not a curated record.